GUAUUAAAUAUCUAGUAUUUGUUCAAUUAUCUUAAAUCCACUAAUUAGCAGUGAACAAUCAUUAGCAGAGGUGAUAAAACUGCCAAAGGCAUUAGGUAUUUAACUUAAUCCUAUUGUCAGUUAAUUAGUGUUACACAAUCACUCGGGUAACAAUUUUACCGGAAACGCCAGAAGGCAUGAAAUUUGUAAAAUGUAUCUUUUGAAAAGGCAGAGGGGGGCAUUCUUUGGCUUUGGAGGGCAGAAGGGCGGGGGUAAGGGCACCAAGGGCGGGGCGCCCUUCUAUUUAGGGCAGGCGGGAACACUGAGUAAUAUAAACAUGAAUUAAAACUUUUAAAAGAAGAUUUGAAUACUAAAAACCUUGGAACAAACUUUUCCAGUAGAUUUAAUUACUAAUAACAGAAAUACAUAUGAAUACAGACUAAAAUCCUUUGACUUUUAAAGAAGAUUUAUAAACACAGAAAACCUUUAGAACUUUUAAAGUAGAUUUAAUUGCUAUGAACUUUUAAGGGAGAUUUGAAUAAUAAAAACCAGUGAAAAUUUUUUACAUAAGAUUCAGUUGCUAAUAAAUAAUUUUGAUCUUUACAGCAGAUUUAUAAAUACUGAAAAUGUUUUUAAUUUUUUGAGUAGAUUUAUAUACUUCAAACCUUUGCAUAAACUUUAAUACAUAAACCUUAUUUGAACAAUUCUAUUUGUUUUCAACAAACCAUAUUCCCUUUUGUGCCAUAUUAUAAAUGAUGUAUAUAUAUUAUGUUGAAAUUACUGUUGAAUGAAUAAUUACAUACACUGGUUAUGUCAAAUGAUAUGUUUAUAUUUUAAAGUGUUCCUCAACAAAUAUUUAUAUGGCAAGGAGCAUCUAUUGUUUAUGUCCUCUUAAAGUUUAUUUACAAAAUAUGAAGGCACUGCCAUCUGCCAUGCAAUUAAAAAAUAAAAGUCAAAAUGUUAAUUAAACUGUUUAUGGUAGUAUAAGUUUAUGUUUUUGUUAUUUUUGUUUGAGGCGAUAUUACAUUCCAGAAGUUAGGACCUCCUAUUGUUUUAUUUUAACCUCAUACUGCAUGUACAUUCAAUUAUAGUUAUAGAUGAUGUUAUAAAUGACACCAUGUUUUAUUUUAAGAGUUUAUUGACAGGUAUUAUUUGUUAUGUUAACAUAAUUUCAGUUUAUCUCUGAUAUGUGAGGAAAUUCAUCUUUUAUCUGUCUUUUGACAUGUUUUUAAUUAGAUACAUUUCAUUCAACUCUUGAAAUACUGUUAAAUCAAAGGAAGGGCAAUGCAAAAAGAAUAGAUAUUUAUGUUCAUAUAUAACUUUUUAAGGUAAAUGUUUAAGGUAUAAAAAGUCUAUAAAUGAGUAUUUUUGAAAAUUCAAACUGUUAUAUACAGUAUCAAAGAAAACUAUGGACUAUGUAAUAAUAAAAAUCUGAUUCGAUGAUCCUUAAUAUUUUUACAUAAUUAAAGCUGACCAUUUUGUAAAUGUUAUCAUAACUAUCAGUUUAUUAUUUAAUUUUGCAUUUUCCUUUCUCUGACUAAAAUGUGACAAAAAAUAAGGUUGUAUAUGAACUGCAGCAAAGUAAAGAUAGGUUGUAUUUUUUACUUACACAUAAUGUUAUUUUUACAUGUAUUAACUGAUUUUAUUUACUAAUUUCCAUGUAGGAAAGAAACAAAAUAAAGUGUAUCUUUCAAUUGUUAAAGAGAUAUGAAAUUAUAUGUUGUUCAAAUGUAGCUAAAAAUGAGAUUUUUCACUUUUACAUGUAAAAUGAUCUCAAUUGUUCUAUGUUAGAAUACAAUUUUGUAAAUUUAGAUAUGACAAAAUAAAACGUCAUAAUUUUCAUUACAAU
This 1828-nucleotide long non-coding RNA is filed under the name Mytilus galloprovincialis (Mediterranean mussel). The record is from RNAcentral. Lineage: Eukaryota; Metazoa; Mollusca; Bivalvia; Mytilida; Mytilidae.